Long non-coding RNA from Arabidopsis lyrata subsp. lyrata, 349 nucleotides. RefSeq lists it as uncharacterized. The record is from RefSeq and is a predicted model, not a curated record. NCBI's taxonomy places the organism in Eukaryota, Viridiplantae, Streptophyta, Magnoliopsida, Brassicales, Brassicaceae. The transcript is spliced from 4 exons.
GUUUCUUCCUUUGAAUUCAGGAUCUCAUCAGAGUCUUCUUCGAUUGUUGUAUCAUAACUCUUGUGAGAUGUUUUCUUCUCCUUUGCCAAAGACUUUGGGAACCUCAGAUUGAUUCUUGAAUUGAUGGUGGACUCCACUUUUUCCCCUUUUUUUCUGGUGGCUUAUGUGGAUUAAGUGGAGUUUGGUGAACCUCGCUGUGAAGCUGUGAUGUAUUAAUAAUGUUCUGCACAUCUUGAAAAGAAGAAGAAGGACCAGUUACUGUCUGUAAGGCUUCAGAAUCACACUGUUGGGCUGUAUUAGCUACAGUAAUGGGGCUUAUAUAUGAAAAUUCAUCAGUACAAAGCACAGG